Podarcis lilfordi (Lilford's wall lizard) is the source of this 71-nucleotide non-coding RNA. NCBI's taxonomy places the organism in Eukaryota, Metazoa, Chordata, Lepidosauria, Squamata, Lacertidae. The record is from the annotation of a GenBank genome assembly.
GUUCUAGGUAUAAGCUUUGAUGUGCAUGCACAAAAGAAGUGUGCAUGCACAUGAAAGCUUAUACCUAGAGC